This 230-nucleotide unclassified non-coding RNA is filed under the name Hevea brasiliensis (rubber tree). The record is from RNAcentral. Lineage: Eukaryota; Viridiplantae; Streptophyta; Magnoliopsida; Malpighiales; Euphorbiaceae.
AGUCAUAACACCCUGACAAUGUUGAAUCCAGAAUUACUCAUCUCAAACGAGAGUUAUAUAAUGUCCCAAUACAACAAAGACAGAGCACUCUCAAAAUCCAAGUAAUCAAUCAUAAAACAAGAUUCACCCAUAUAUUUUUCAACUAUCUACAAUUGGAAGCUAUAAUUACCCACAUUUCAAUUUAUUUAAGAAUUAAGAUAGAGCGAAAAAUAAAACAAAAGAAUUCACGU